GGGUCAGUGUUAUGAGGAGGAAAAAUAAGAAACUCAGUUUUAGAGAGAUUGAGUUUCAGAAAGCGGGAGGACAUCCAAUCAGAGAUAGAAGAGAGGCAAUUGGUGACACGUUGUAGGACAGCAGGGGAGAUGUCAGUGGAGGAGAGGUAUAUCUGGUUGUCAUCAGCGUACAGGUGGUAGUGGAAUCCAUAUGAAUUAAUGAGUUUGCCAAGAGAGGCAGUAUAGAGAGAGAACAAAAAGGGACCAAGAACUGAACCUUGAGGGACUCGGACUGAGACAGGACGAGGAGAUGAG
Molecule: non-coding RNA, 294 nt
Organism: Pelobates cultripes (western spadefoot toad)
Lineage: Eukaryota; Metazoa; Chordata; Amphibia; Anura; Pelobatidae
Source: the annotation of a GenBank genome assembly